GACGAACGCUGGCGGCGUGCUUAACACAUGCAAGUCGAACGAAGAGCGAUGGAAGCUUGCUUCUAUCAAUCUUAGUGGCGAACGGGUGAGUAACGCGUAAUCAACCUGCCCUUCAGAGGGGGACAACAGUUGGAAACGACUGCUAAUACCGCAUACGAUCCAAUCUCGGCAUCGAGGAUGGAUGAAAGGUGGCCUCUAUUUAUAAGCUAUCACUGAAGGAGGGGAUUGCGUCUGAUUAGCUAGUUGGAGGGGUAACGGCCCACCAAGGCGAUGAUCAGUAGCCGGUCUGAGAGGAUGAACGGCCACAUUGGGACUGAGACACGGCCCAGACUCCUACGGGAGGCAGCAGUGGGGAAUCUUCCGCAAUGGACGAAAGUCUGACGGAGCAACGCCGCGUGAGUGAUGACGGCCGUCGGGUUGUAAAGCUCUGUUAAUCGGGACGAAAGGUCCUCUUGCGAAUAGUUAGAGGAAUUGACGGUACCGGAAUAGAAAGCCACGGCUAACUACGUG
This 510-nucleotide ribosomal RNA is filed under the name uncultured bacterium. RNAcentral's name for it is "partial 16S ribosomal RNA". It matches the Rfam family "Bacterial small subunit ribosomal RNA", at positions 28 to 507 of the family's 1533-position model. The record is from RNAcentral.